RNAcentral lists this small RNA (381 nucleotides) under Histoplasma capsulatum var. duboisii H88. RNAcentral's name for it is "Histoplasma capsulatum H88 hypothetical RNA". The record is from RNAcentral. Lineage: Eukaryota; Fungi; Ascomycota; Eurotiomycetes; Onygenales; Ajellomycetaceae.
CCCUGAGAAUGUCAAGAGCUGUAGGUCGAGCGUCUCCGGGCCCAUUCUGCUCUAAGAAGGCUUGGGUGUACUUGGCAUUCUUGCCAAGGUGAUUACUAAUGAGCGGAUUGGCCAUUGUGGUGAUUGUCUGGAAGAUUGUCUGGAAGAUUGACUUUGCCUGGCAUUUUGGUGGGGAAGUUGGUUAACGGGCUUUUUAUUGAGUUUAUUGAGUUUUCAUCCUGAUCGGAUACUGACACCGCUCCGGCCUUAUGAGUACGAGAAGGCAUAAGUCCGGGAGAAUACACCUCGGCUGACCCCACGAGUGACUCAACCGACCGCGCUAGGAGACGAAAGCUCAAGGGCCACGAGAAGGGGUAUUAGUAGCCAAUCAUAUACCACAUC